This is a long non-coding RNA of Cavia porcellus (domestic guinea pig), 1801 nucleotides long. RefSeq lists it as uncharacterized. Lineage: Eukaryota; Metazoa; Chordata; Mammalia; Rodentia; Caviidae. The transcript is spliced from 3 exons. The record is from RefSeq and is a predicted model, not a curated record.
CUGCCUUGUAUUCCUUGGACCCGAAAUCCCAUCAACCAUGUGUUUUCCAUAGCUAGCACAUCUAUACUUGUCUGGUCUGUAGCCGGAGGACCCCAGACUUUCCUUUCCUCAGUACGUACCAGUCAGAGAGUGACUAAAGCUCCCUCAUCAAGAGAACUUACAAAAAUCCCUCUGGGCCUGGAGAUGCUGAUCUACUGGUGCAGUUUCAAGAGUAGAAUCCAGCACGUAGGACCAGCGAGACUCCUAUCAAUCCUCUGAGUGAAAAAGGGUAUUUGAGAGAAAAGAGAGUGUUCUAAAAUCAGGCCUUUUCAGAACAGAGCGGUUCACCUGCAACAGACAGACACAAGAGCCCAGGGAUUUUAGAGUUGAUGUGGCAGUGGGGUGGACUGCACCAGGUCCAUCCCUUGGCACUGGAUGUGGUCACACAGUCGCUUUUCCUGUUGAGUGAAUUUGAAGAGAAGAAGGCAGGCAUAUCUGUUAACAUCUGGACAUCCAUGGAGGGCUGACAGUUAAUUAGCACAGUCUCGUUGCUGAAGCCUCCUCUCAAGCAGACAUGUUCAAGUCACCCCGAAGUGAUUAUCAUGAAGGGGUUCUUCGCUGCGGAGCUCACAGAUGGCAGAAAAGAGCCCAGGCACGCACACAGCCCGAUAAUCAAGAUAGCCUUAAAAUAGGGGCUGCCCUGCCCUCCCAGGACACCGGCACCCAUGUAUUCCAAGUUUCUAUCAAACUGCAGCAAGGGUGCGCUUUGGUUCUGGUUACAUGCAUGCAUCUUCUUCAGGACAAGCACAGCCUAUUCUUCAGGGGACUCCUCUGUGGCACUGCCACAAACUGUACGGGAGAAAAUAGCCUUGGCAAAGCAGCUGGGUUUUCUUUGCCACUCCCAGCUCUAGGUACAAAUGGUUUUUCUUAAGAUUAGCAACACACAUGCAGGGUGGGCCAGAGGCCCGUGUGUGGGUGUGCGUGUGCAUGCGUGUGUGUGCAAGAGUGCGUGUGUGUGUGUGUCUAUCAUGAGAGCAAAAGAGGGAGAAAUGCGAGCAGACUAACUGUGUUUUGCUCACUCACUGCUAGGCCCGCAAAGCGAAUUUCCUGCUCAAGUUCCUGGAUUCCAGUUGAGAUGAAUCCUUUCCUCCCUCCCUUCUUCCUUCACUCCCUUUUUUCCUUUCUUCCUCUCCUUCUUUUCCCUCUCUCCUUUCUUCCUCUGUCUCUGACUCUGUCUUUCCCUCUCUAUCUCCUUCCUUCCCAAUUCAUUGGUUACAGAUUUUUUUAACAGUUCACUGAAACCCCAGUCCGGAGCAGCAAACACUCCCCGUCCUGGGUGUAAACAAUUAGCAGGGUCCAACACUCACUGGAUUCACAUGCUGGAUUUGGUUUUGGUAUAUUUCAUCUCAUUUAACUUUAUUUGUUAGGUUUUGUAGUGCCUGGGCAGGGAAAUGCAGACCUUUGUAGUUCAAGGCAGGAGCAGGAGUGUAGGUUUGGAAGCUGAUGAAACUGUGACCACAAAGAGACGGUGACCCUCACUUUGGCUUUGGGGCCUCCUCCUGGCCACUGACUGCCAAGUUGCUGAGCAAGGCACUUAGAGGGAGCAUUUGAGAAAGCUAGACUUUAUAUAUUCACACAUUUCUUGGGUUUUAGCAGAGCUGGCUUAAAUCCCAGUAAAGAAACCAAAUGAAGUAACAAAUAAGUAGCAUUCUUCCUCCAAAUCAUAAUAGAAUUUUUGUCAUUUCUUCUGUAUGUUUUUUAAAAGAGAAACAAAUUUUAGUCAUCUUAGAGUGCUAUAUUAUUUCCUAUGACCUAUGUGUAU